This is a long non-coding RNA of Daucus carota subsp. sativus, 723 nucleotides long. RefSeq lists it as uncharacterized. The record is from RefSeq and is a predicted model, not a curated record. Lineage: Eukaryota; Viridiplantae; Streptophyta; Magnoliopsida; Apiales; Apiaceae. The transcript has 3 exons.
ACCAGUUUCUUUUCACGAAUACCGAGAGAAACCGAGCUGCGUUCUUCGUGUUCUUCGUAAUCAAACGAGGAUUUGAAGGUGUUAUUGGAAUCCGAUGGAGGUGUAUGAAUAGUCAAAACGAAGCUAUCGACGCGUAGAAUCUAUUACUAUCAGUGGUUUCAGUGCAGAAUCGACAGGUUUUUGCUAAUUAAGGAUUUGGACGAGACGUGUACGCUCGAAGACGUCAGAAAGUCGGAGAAUGGUAUUGCAAAGCGAAUAAGGGAUGAAUCGAGUAAGCGAAGCGAUGUGGCGAAUAGAGUAUAGCUAGAGAUGGUCUAGAGAUUACGAGAUGCAUAGAUUGUGAAAGUUGAAAGAUGAGAAUGAGCUGUGAAACUGGAGUCAGAUUUAAGAAAGGCUUAAAGAUGAGAUGAUGGAUUGAGAUUGUGAAUAAGGCUAAUGUUAGGCGAGGAGACAGAGUUGAGGAUCCAGUGGUCGAGGAGUGUUCAGGAAAGUUGAUGAGGUUGGUGCAAGCUAGAGCUGUGUUAUAGGAAUUCAAGUGUAAGUCAUAGCUGGAAUAGUUGACAGUGAUUCUUCUUAUCGAAGAUGAUCUGAUUUGGUAAGAGAUGUUGUGUAAUAAUAGUGGUUGAUUCUAAUUUCAAUGCUGUAACCUGGAUGCGAUCCUGUUGUUUUAGGGGGUUAAAAUGUUCUCUUUCAAAUCACUUAUUAAAGUUUUCAGGUUUUAAA